This 345-nucleotide ribosomal RNA is filed under the name Hoplocorypha sp. MN035. Its description in RNAcentral is "partial 16S ribosomal RNA". Lineage: Eukaryota; Metazoa; Arthropoda; Insecta; Mantodea; Thespidae. The record is from RNAcentral.
GGCCGCAGUAUUUUGACUGUGCAAAGGUAGCAUAAUCAUUAGUCUUUUAAUUGAAGGCUGGUAUGAAUGGUUGGACGAGGUAAAUACUGUUUUAUAGAAAUUAUAAUUGAAUUUAGAUUUUAAGUAAAAAGACUUAAAUUGUAUUAAGGGACGAGAAGACCCUAUAGAGUUUAAUAUGUGUAAUUUUGGUUAAGUUAUUAAGAAAAUUUUGGUCAUUAUGAAAUUUAUUUAAUUGGGGUGAUAGAAAAAUAAGAUGAACUUUUUUUUAAUUUAAAUAUUUUAAGUAAAUAGAUGAUCCAUAUUUAGUGAUUAGAAGAUUAAAUUACCUUAGGGAUAACAGCAUAA